Small nucleolar RNA from Oryctolagus cuniculus (rabbit), 197 nucleotides. Its record names the gene SNORA73. It matches the Rfam family "Small nucleolar RNA SNORA73 family". Rfam says of the family: U17 (SNORA73A and SNORA73B) also known as E1 belongs to the H/ACA class of small nucleolar RNAs (snoRNAs). Vertebrate U17 is intron-encoded and ranges in length from 200-230 nucleotides, longer than most snoRNAs. The record is from Ensembl. Lineage: Eukaryota; Metazoa; Chordata; Mammalia; Lagomorpha; Leporidae.
CCAAGGUGGAUAUCCCAGGAGGUCACUCUCCCCAGGCUUGGUGCCAAUGGCACAGAGGAGCACAGGGUUCUGACCCAUGAACAGACCCUUUCAAAGUCACUGGAGAGAAGCUGGGCCUAUAAUCUGCACCCACAUAUUCCUAUCACUUCUCAGAGUUUUGUGGACAAUGACGGAGGAGACAAACCAUGCACUAAAUU